Molecule: non-coding RNA, 601 nt
Organism: Podarcis lilfordi (Lilford's wall lizard)
Lineage: Eukaryota; Metazoa; Chordata; Lepidosauria; Squamata; Lacertidae
Source: the annotation of a GenBank genome assembly
GCCAGGAGAAGCCGUGCAGCCCUUUUAAAGUGUGCGCGGCUUCUGCCGGUUUUGCGGGACGUGGGGGAAUUCCCCCACUUCCCAAGAAAGCCAGGAGAAGCCGCGAUCUCUUUAAAGGGGUUGCGCGGCUUCUGCGGGCUUUUGGGAGAGGUGAGGGAAUCCCCCCACCUCCCAGUAAAGCCAGGAAAGCCCUGCGCAGCGUCUCCUGGCAAGGAGAGGUUGCGCGGGGCUAAAGAGGAAGCCAAAACAGCGAGCGGGAUCCAUCCUGCUCGCUGCCUUGGCUUGUGCCAUAGCUGUGCGCAACCCCUCCGGCAAGGAGAGGCUGCACGGGGCUAUGGAUUCUUUAGCCCUGCGCAGCGUCUCCUGGCAAGGAGAGGUUGCGCAGGGCUAAAGAGGAAGCCAAAACAGCGAGCGGGAUCCAUCCUGCUCGCUGCCUUGGCUUGUGCCAUAGCCCCGCUCAACCCCUCCGGCAGGGAGAGGUUGUGCACAGCCUGUACGCUGCUCUUUGGGGCUGGGGGGGGAAUUUUGUUUUUGAUUUCCCCCCCUAAAAACUGGGUGCGCCCUAUGGUCCGGUGCGCCCUAUGGUGCGAAAAAUACGGUA